RNAcentral lists this long non-coding RNA (303 nucleotides) under Cyanoderma ruficeps (rufous-capped babbler). RNAcentral's name for it is "lncRNA (ENSCRFG00000008004.1)". Lineage: Eukaryota; Metazoa; Chordata; Aves; Passeriformes; Timaliidae. The record is from RNAcentral.
ACAGGAAGAGCAAAGAGAAGAACCUCGUGUUAAUGGACCGGACCUAUGGCCUCCUAAGUGAUGUGACAACACCUCCUGCAUGGGAGCAGUGAGAAGGACAUGGAUCUCCAGUGAUGUGACAACACCACCUGCAUGGGAGCAGUGAGAAGGACAUGGAUGUCCCCCACCAGACCAUUCAAGCCUGAGGUGUGCACAUGCUUGGCUGAGGAAAAGUCUAUAGGUGUUUUAAGUUUUCAGCUUGCCAGAGGAUGAACCGAGCCUGGCAACUAAGAUAUUGUAAUGGGUGUGUCUCAACCAACUCCU